UUGAUGAUUUUCUUCAUAUAAGUAUAAAAGUCAUUGGAGUUUCUUUUUAUUAUAAAAUUAUAUUGAUAUAAAAAUUUUCUUAAACUUUUACUUAAUGGAAUUAUUUUAGUGUAUUUAAAUAAGGAUUUUUUAAAAAGAGCUUGAAUUUAAAUUAUAGCGUGCCAGCAUUUGCGGUUAUACGAUUAAAUUAAUAUGUAUUUAUUUAGUAAUUUUUUAAUUGUUAGAUUAAGGGUGAAAUUGUAUUUUAAUUAUAGGUUGAUGAAUCUUAAUUUUAUAUUAAUGGGAAUUAGAUACUCUUUUAAGUUUUAUUUAGUAGUAUUUAAUACAAACUUUAUUAAAUGGCGGUUUAACAUAUGAUAAGGGGAAUUUGAAUUUUAAUAGAUAUCACUCUUUUAAUUUGUUUGUUUUAUAAUUAUUUAUAUCAUUGUUUUUAGAUUGUUAUUUUAUUUAAAUUGUUCUGUGUUUUUAAAUCAAGAUGAAGAAUAUAAAUAAGAUAAAUUUUAAUUACAUUGUUUUAUUUAGGAUAAUGAUUUGAUAUAUUUUGAAAUAGGACUUUAUUGUAAUUUUUAUAAGAAAUUUAAAUGAAUAUUUUAUUUAAUGUACAUAUUGCCCGUCACCCUUUAAUAAAGGUAAGUCGUAACAAAGUAGGUUUAAUGG
This 657-nucleotide ribosomal RNA is filed under the name Spinibdella lignicola. RNAcentral's name for it is "12S ribosomal RNA". The record is from RNAcentral. Lineage: Eukaryota; Metazoa; Arthropoda; Arachnida; Trombidiformes; Bdellidae.